RNAcentral lists this ribosomal RNA (253 nucleotides) under uncultured bacterium. RNAcentral describes it as "partial 16S ribosomal RNA". It matches the Rfam family "Bacterial small subunit ribosomal RNA", at positions 524 to 776 of the family's 1533-position model. The record is from RNAcentral.
UACGGAGGGUGCAAGCGUUGUCCGGAAUUAUUGGGCGUAAAGAGCUCGUAGGCGGUUUGUCGCGUCUGCUGUGAAAACUCAGGGCUUAACCCUGAGCCUGCAGUGGGUACGGGCAGACUAGAGUGUGGUAGGGGAGAUCGGAAUUCCUGGUGUAGCGGUGAAAUGCGCAGAUAUCAGGAGGAACACCGGUGGCGAAGGCGGGUCUCUGGGCCGAUACUGACGCUGAGGAGCGAAAGCGUGGGGAGCAAACAGG